This 411-nucleotide ribosomal RNA is filed under the name Bacteroidota bacterium. Its description in RNAcentral is "Bacteroidetes bacterium partial 16S ribosomal RNA". It matches the Rfam family "Bacterial small subunit ribosomal RNA", at positions 355 to 776 of the family's 1533-position model. The record is from RNAcentral. Lineage: Bacteria; Pseudomonadati; Bacteroidota.
UGGGGAAUAUUGCGCAAUGGGGGAAACCCUGACGCAGCGACGCCGCGUGCGGGAUGAAGGCCUUCGGGUUGUAAACCGCUUUUGAUUGGGAGCAAGCUUUCGGGUGAGUGUACCUUUCGAAUAAGCGCCGGCUAACUACGUGCAAGCAGCCGCGGUAAUACGUAGGGCGCAAGCGUUAUCCGGAAUUAUUGGGCGUAAAGAGCUUGUAGGCGGUUCGUCGCGUCUGGUGUGAAAGCCCAUCGCUUAACGGUGGGUUUGCGCCGGGUACGGGCGGGCUAGAGUGCAGUAGGGGAGACUGGAAUUCCCGGUGUAACGGUGGAAUGUGUAGAUAUCGGGAAGAACACCAAUGGCGAAGGCCGGUCUCUGGGCUGUUACUGACGCUGAGAAGCGAAAGCGUGGGGAGCGAACAGG